Molecule: ribosomal RNA, 239 nt
Filed under: uncultured bacterium
Lineage: Bacteria
Description: partial 16S ribosomal RNA
Rfam family: Bacterial small subunit ribosomal RNA
Source: RNAcentral
GAUCCUGGCUCAGGAUGAACGCUGGCGGCGUGCUUAACACAUGCAAGUCGAGCGAAGCACUUAAGUUCGAUUCUUCGGAUGAAGACUUUUGUGACUGAGCGGCGGACGGGUGAGUAACGCGUGGGUAACCUGCCUCAUACAGGGGGAUAACAGUUAGAAAUGGCUGCUAAUACCGCAUAAGACCACAGUACUGCAUGGUACAGUGGUAAAAACUCCGGUGGUAUUAGAUGGACCCGCGU